AACGCUGGCGGUAGGCUUAACACAUGCAAGUCGUGCGAGAAAGUAUCUUCGGAUAUGAGUAGAGCGGCGGACGGGUGAGUAACGCGUAGGAAUCUACCUAGUAGAAGGGGAUAGCCCGAGGAAACUCGGAUUAAUACCGUAUACCUCCUUCGGGAGAAAGAAGGCCUCUCAUUGAAGCUUUCGCUACUAGAUGAGCCUGCGUAAGAUUAGCUUGUUGGUGAGGUAAAGGCUCACCAAGGCAACGAUCUUUAGCGGGUCUGAGAGGACGAUCCGCCACAUUGGGACUGAGACACGGCCCAGACUCCUACGGGAGGCAGCAGUGGGGAAUAUUGGACAAUGGGCGCAAGCCUGAUCCAGCCAUACCGCGUGUGUGAAGAAGGCCCUAGGGUUGUAAAGCACUUUAAGUUGGGAAGAAAAGUUAUUGGUUAAUAUCCAAUAGCCGUGACAUUACCAUCAGAAUAAGGACCGGCUAAUUCCGUGCCAGCAGCCGCGGUAAUACGGAAGGUCCAAGCGUUAAUCGGAAUUACUGGGCGUAAAGCGCGCGUAGGUGGUUUAUUAAGUUGGAUGUGAAAUCCCCGGGCUCAACCUGGGAACUGCAUCCAAAACUGAUUCACUAGAGUACGAUAGAGGGAGGUAGAAUUCACAGUGUAGCGGUGGAAUGCGUAGAUAUUGUGAAGAAUACCAAUGGCGAAGGCAGCCUCCUGGAUCUGUACUGACACUGAGGUGCGAAAGCGUGGGUAGCGAACAGGAUUAGAUACCCUGGUAGUCCACGCCGUAAACGAUGUCAACUAGCUGUUGGGGAACUAUGUUCUUCAGUGGCGCAGCUAACGUAGUAAGUUGACCGCCUGGGGAGUACGGCCGCAAGGCUAAAACUCAAAUGAAUUGACGGGGACCCGCACAAGCGGUGGAGCAUGUGGUUUAAUUCGAUGCAACGCGAAAAACCUUACCUAUACUUGACAUACUUGGAAUGCUUUGUAAUGAAGCAGUGCCUUCGGGAGCCAGGAUACAGGUGCUGCAUGGCUGUCGUCAGCUCGUGUCGUGAGAUGUUCCGUUAAGUCGGAUAACGAGCGCAACCCACAUCCCUAGUUGCCAGCAGUUCGGCUGGGCACUCUAUGGAAACUGCCCGUGAUAAGCGGGAGGAAGGUGUGGAUGACGUCAAGUCCUCAUGGCCCUUACGGGUUGGGCUACACACGUGCUACAAUGG
This 1204-nucleotide ribosomal RNA is filed under the name uncultured bacterium. RNAcentral's name for it is "bacterial SSU rRNA". It matches the Rfam family "Bacterial small subunit ribosomal RNA", at positions 32 to 1233 of the family's 1533-position model. The record is from RNAcentral.